UAAUUGAUGGAUAGUAUGAAUGGUUAAACGAAUAUUACACUGUCUCAAGUAAAAAUUUUAUGAAAUUAAGAUAAUAGUUAAGACGCUAUUUCAAACUGUAAGACGAAAAGACCCUAUAGAGCUUAACUAUAAACUUUUUUGAUAAAGAUCAUCAAAAAAUGAUUAUAAAAGAAAGUUAGGUAGUUUAGUUGGGGCGACUGUCUUCUAAAAAGAACGAAGACUAGCAAAGUUAAUAAAAAUAACUUAUUGUUUAAUAAAUUUAUUUAACAAUUACAAAAGUAGGCUAUAAUGACCCAUUGAAUUUAAGAAAGUAAAUCAAUGAUUAAAAAAUAAAAGCUACCUUAGGGAUAACAGGAUAAUUUUGUCUUAGAGAUCAUAUCGAAGACAAAGUUUGUCACCUCUAUGUUGAAUUGAGAUAUCCUGAUAAUGCA
RNAcentral lists this ribosomal RNA (431 nucleotides) under Turritopsis dohrnii. RNAcentral's name for it is "partial 16S ribosomal RNA". It matches the Rfam family "Bacterial large subunit ribosomal RNA", at positions 1977 to 2557 of the family's 2925-position model. The record is from RNAcentral. Lineage: Eukaryota; Metazoa; Cnidaria; Hydrozoa; Anthoathecata; Oceaniidae.